Long non-coding RNA from Peromyscus leucopus (white-footed mouse), 1276 nucleotides. RefSeq lists it as uncharacterized. NCBI's taxonomy places the organism in Eukaryota, Metazoa, Chordata, Mammalia, Rodentia, Cricetidae. The transcript has 3 exons. The record is from RefSeq and is a predicted model, not a curated record.
GCUCCAUCGAUCCAAGCCGCGGAACCAGCAGCUGAAAAAAAAAAAGUGAGAAGGGAAUCGAUCUGAGGGAAACGGCAGCUGCUGGGGAUUAGAGCCCGAGGUCCACACGCUGCCCAGCGGCCACCCCUCCCCUGCGUCAGGCUGGCCCCGCAGUCUCAGCCUGGCCCUGAGGGAGGGUCCCAAGCGUGGCUCCCCUUGGGUUCAGGGUGCUGCUCAACCCACCCUGGCGACAAGGCGAGGUCAGACCCCUAAGUGAGGGUCACUCCUGUGUGGAAUCCACCCACACAGCCGAGUCCUAGCCCUGCACGGUGCUCUAACUAGAUGUCGCCAACCUUUCAGCAAAGUGGCUUCCCAGGGCCCCACAGUUGGGUUUCCCCCACAGGCUUCCCAUGAGUCUAGGUCAGCAGGCUCCCAGAGCUGGGGAGAGACGACCUCUGGGGACAGGUUCAGGCUGCUUCUGGCUGGGACCCAGCAGGAGAAAGAAGAGUUGGUACUGGCAGCAGGUUACUUCAGUCUGGGGCUCUGCCAAGAGAGUGGGAGCUGCCCCCCAAUCUCUCCCCAGCACUCCCUACCGCCCUGACAUCCUGUCUGAAUACCUGGCUAUCUGCUGAGAUCUCAGGGUCAAGCUGUCUCCACCGCACAUUGACCUCCAUCAUGAGCCCAGAUAAUACCCUCUUCCCCUCUUCAGAUUACGAUCAUUACCAGCUCAUCUGGCAACUAAGCUCAGCACCCACAGCUGCGGAAAGGGGGUGCCAGGAGGGGCACUCUGGGGUCACGGGCAAACACGAGAGACGUGGGAAGAGCCGGGCUAUGACCCGCCAGAAGGUAUCAGGCUGCCAAGGGGUAACAAGGCACCUCCUAGACCAGAGACCUCUGCCAGAGGAGUGGGAGAGAGACCCUGGAAGACCCCGGGGUGGGGGCAAAACCCCCAACUCCCCAAAGCCAGCCUGGGAGCAGAUGGAGCUGGCAAAGCGUUAAACAGGCCAGGGCUGGGUCUUGGCAGGAGCUGAGGAGAGCAGGCUGCUGGGUGUUCAGCCUGGGCCCAAGCCUCCCAGCAAGUGUGCUCACUGAAAUCCUUUCAGCGUUCUCUCGGCAUUCUAGAGAGCCAGGCCCAGGGAGGCAGGCAGGCAGGGCGAAGGUCAGGGGGCCAGCAGGCCAGGGAGCCUGGAGGGCCUUCGUCUAAAGCAGCUAGCGCAGAAGGCCGAGGCAGUGGGAGGGGGAGAUUUACCAAGGCUCUGGAUUCAUUAUUCAUGAGGCGGCAGCAACGACUCCAAUU